Molecule: long non-coding RNA, 1776 nt
Organism: Cygnus olor (mute swan)
Lineage: Eukaryota; Metazoa; Chordata; Aves; Anseriformes; Anatidae
Exons: 5
Source: RefSeq, a predicted model, not a curated record
GGCAGCGGGGGGCUGGGGGGCGCCGCUUGCCCUCGGGGUUCGCUUUCUGCGGGCUGGGCUGCGUUUGGGGGGGUUGGUGCGGGGCUGUGGCCGCAGAGCGGCUUUCUCAGCGGUGCUUGUGAGGAUCCGCGCGUUUUCUAACGGUUGGGUGUCAUAAACUUCACGCUACGAACUCCUAGUUCGGUUUUUAUCCCAACAAGCGAGCUGAAUAUGCCUGCCAGCAACGUCUGACAAUGAAUGAAUCACAGAACCAUUAGGGUUGGAAAAGACCCCAAGAUCAUCUGGUCCAACCGUCCCCCUACCACCAGUGUCACCCACUAAACCAUGUCCCUAAGCACCACGUCCAACCUUUCCUUGAACACCCCCAGGGACGGUGACUCCACCACUCCCCUGGGCAACCUCUUCCAAUGCCUGACUGCGCUUUCUGCGAAGAAUGCCAAUGUGCUCCACCAGCGAACCUGCAUCUCUCAGAGAGAAAUGAAACAUCCUGGCUUCAUCUGUGAAAGUGUUUUAAUGUCACAAAGUACCUGGAAAGUGCACAAAACAUCACUAGAGGAAGCCUCAUCUGUUUCAGUGCAAAAAGUGUUCAUCAUCAUCAUCAUUUGAAAAUGAGCAGAUAUCUUUGUGUAGCUCGCCAUUAAUAGUCUACGUUCAAUGUAUCCACUCUGAUUUUACCAGUCCUGUGAUGUCCAGACCCUCUAGGGUUGCCGGGUUUACCUCCAUCAUGACUCUUCAUGACACAUAACACCUCCAUCAUGACACAUAACAUAUACGCUGCGUUGGUUGAUGAUGUAUUGAUCACCAAAACCUGCUGGAGCAUGGAGCUGGCAUACACUGCAUAGAGGGUGAGGUCAGAAGCCUUUCAAAUAUGAAAUCUGCCCUUACAACUCCAUUGAUGCAAGUAGUGAAGUGGCAGCAUUUACGAACACACACACGAGUGAGAUGCCUUGUGAAUGUUGGCUCUGUUCAUAAAGAUGGAUUCAGAAGACAAGGUUGGACCUUCUCAUGUACACCAACAUCGCACUGGUGAGGCAUUUGGCUGUAGUUUUUGCUGCUAUUCUUCCCCUGACAAACAACUUCUCUGAAAACACAUUAAGAAAUAUCACCUGGGUGCAGGAACCUCAUUAACCAGUUCCCAGCCCACUUUUGCUCUCAAAUCACUUCUUAUGGAAUGUUAGGUUCUUCGUGCUUAAGUUUCCACCAGAGCAUCCCAGCAAAUAAAGAAGCUGUUGGCAUUGUCAGACUUUUGCGCUGAAAGCCAGGGGUGAUCUGGAAGAAGAGAAGGAACAGUCCUCUUGUGGCAAUUAGAAGUACGGGUGACAUAUUCAAAUAAGAUGCUUAAGAUGGUCAUCCCCAAAACAUGUGUGCAUGUUACGGUACAGGUUGUAACUCUAAUUUGCUGAAAGGAGCAUGGAGAUUUGUGUUCUGUAAAGGGUGAAUAUGUUGGUUUUUCAUUCUGGUUACAUCUUCCUGAUACAUUCUGCUUAAUUACAAAUGAAGAUUUUGACAUUUGAAGGCAGAAUCUGUUGAAAUGUGCUUGAACUAACAUUGAACCCUACAGGUUGUUUCUGUGCUACAUCUCUCAUUUUUAAUAUUGGUCUCUUUAUAUAAAACAUUAAAGGAUUCAAGAAAAUCUGUUGACACAGUAAUACUUGUAAGUCAGUAAAUUGUUUCCUGGAUUUUUUUUAACAAAGUAUAUCUAUUAUGAACUAGUCCAAGUUAAAGUAAAAAUAUAAACUAUUGAAAUACGACAUCAAAUAAACCUGACUUGAAAAU